AACGCGAAGAACCUUACCUGGGCUCGAAAUGUAGUGGAAUCCGGUGGAAACAUCGGCGUCUAGCAAUAGACCGCUAUAUAGGUGCUGCAUGGCUGUCGUCAGCUCGUGUCGUGAGAUGUUGGGUUAAGUCCCGCAACGAGCGCAACCCUUAUUACCAGUUGCUACCAUUUAGUUGAGCACUCUGGUGAGACUGCCUCGGAUAACGGGGAGGAAGGCGGGGAUGACGUCAAGUCCUCAUGGCCUUUAUGUCCAGGGCUACACACGUGUUACAAUGCGCGCUACAGAGCGUUGCAAACCCGCGAGGGGGAGCUAAUCGCACAAAAGCGCGCUCAGUUCGGAUUGCAGUCUGCAACUCGACUGCAUGAAGCCGGAAUCGCUAGUAAUGGCGCAUCAGAACGGCGCCGUGAUACGUUCCCGGGCCUUGUACACACCGACUGUAC
This 440-nucleotide ribosomal RNA is filed under the name uncultured bacterium. Its description in RNAcentral is "bacterial SSU rRNA". It matches the Rfam family "Bacterial small subunit ribosomal RNA", at positions 958 to 1399 of the family's 1533-position model. The record is from RNAcentral.